GUGGGGAAUCUUGCGCAAUGGGCGAAAGCCUGACGCAGCAACGCCGCGUGCGGGAUGACGGCCUUCAAGGUUGUAAACCGCUUUCAGCAGGGACGAAAAUGACGGUACCUGCAGAAGAAGCCCCGGCUAACUACGUGCCAGCAGCCGCGGUAAUACGUAGGGGGCAAGCGUUGUCCGGAUUCAUUGGGCGUAAAGAGCUCGUAGGCGGUUCAGUAAGUCGGGUGUGAAAGCUCCGAGCUCAACUCGGAGAGGCCACCCGAUACUGCUGUGACUUGAGUACAGUAGGGGAGCGUGGAAGUCCUGGUGUAGCGGUGAAAUGCGCAGAUAUCAGGAGGAACACCAGCGGCGAAGGCGGCGCUCUGGGCUGUAACUGACGCUGAGGAGCGAAAGUGUGGGUAGCAAACAGGAUUAGAAACCCCGGUAGUCC
This 427-nucleotide ribosomal RNA is filed under the name uncultured bacterium. Its description in RNAcentral is "partial 16S ribosomal RNA". It matches the Rfam family "Bacterial small subunit ribosomal RNA", at positions 354 to 796 of the family's 1533-position model. The record is from RNAcentral.